RNAcentral lists this ribosomal RNA (253 nucleotides) under uncultured bacterium. RNAcentral describes it as "partial 16S ribosomal RNA". It matches the Rfam family "Bacterial small subunit ribosomal RNA", at positions 524 to 776 of the family's 1533-position model. The record is from RNAcentral.
GACGAACCGUCCAAACGUUAUUCGGAAUUACUGGGCUUAAAGGGUGCGUAGGCGGCGCGGAAAGUUGGGUGUGAAAUCCCUCGGCUCAACCGAGGAACUGCGCCCAAAACUACCGUGCUCGAGGGAGAUAGAGGUGAGCGGAACUUAGGGUGGAGCGGUGAAAUGCGUUGAUAUCCUAAGGAACACCCGUGGCGAAAGCGGCUCACUGGGUCUCUUCUGGCGCUGAGGCACGACAGCGUGGGGAGCAAACAGG